AGCGAGCGCUGGCGGCAGGCCUAACACAUGCAAGUCGAGCGCCGUAGCAAUACGGAGCGGCAGACGGGAGAGUAACACGUGGGAACGUGCCCUUUGGUUCGGAACAACCCAGGGAAACUUGGGCUAAUACCGGAUAAGCCCUUACGGGGAAAGAUUUAUCGCCGAAGGAUCGGCCCGCGUCUGAUUAGCUAGUUGGUGGGGUAAUGGCCCACCAAGGCGACGAUCAGUAGCUGGUCUGAGAGGAUGAUCAGCCUCACUGGGACUGAGACACGGCCCAGACUCCUACGGGAGGCAGCAGUGGGGAAUAUUGGACAAUGGGCGCAAGCCUGAUCCAGCCAUGCCGCGUGGGUGAUGAAGGCCCUAGGGUUGUAAAGCCCUUUCGGCGGGGAAGAUAAUGACGGUACCCACAGAAGAAGCCCCGGCUAACUACGUGCCAGCCGCCGCGGUAA
This 449-nucleotide ribosomal RNA is filed under the name uncultured bacterium. RNAcentral describes it as "partial 16S ribosomal RNA". It matches the Rfam family "Bacterial small subunit ribosomal RNA", at positions 29 to 523 of the family's 1533-position model. The record is from RNAcentral.